CUCAACUCUGUCAGCCAUGUUCAGAUCAGGGCUUACCUUUACUGUACAUCGUGCUGAUUUCUGCUGCUGCUGGAUCUCUGUUGAUCGUAGCUGCAGUCUUGUGGUGCUGUUUCUGCUGGAAACAUAAAACAAUAGUUCAGAAAAUCGUGAUCCACGAGAUAUAUGAAAAUGAUUCAACACUGCAUACACCAAGAACACAAAAAAGGAAAUCAAAGGAGCCUGUGUAUUCAAAUAUCGGCAGAAAUAAUCAGCAACAUACGUUUUAGUUUACGUUUAUUCUCUGCCAUGUCUGAAAUGUUGUUGCUCUGUUUUAAUUAAUGGUGUAUUUUAAAUAGCAUAAAAAAACAUGUUCUAUUUUUUAGCUAAUCACUCUGUUAUUUACCAACUUUAUUAAAAUUGAUCUCACC
This is a long non-coding RNA of Carassius auratus (goldfish), 407 nucleotides long. RefSeq lists it as uncharacterized. The transcript has 4 exons. The record is from RefSeq and is a predicted model, not a curated record. Lineage: Eukaryota; Metazoa; Chordata; Actinopteri; Cypriniformes; Cyprinidae.